UACAUGUGGGGCAAGCGUUUGUUCGGAAUUACUGGGCAUAAAGGGUGCGUAGGUGGCUUGUUAAGUCAGGGGUGAAAGUUUUCGGCCCAACCGGAAAAUGGCCUUUGAUACUGGCGAGCUCGAGUGCGUGAGGGGUAACCGGAACGAGCAGUGUAGCGGUGAAAUGCGUAGAAUAUUGCUCGGAAGGCCAACGGCGAAGGCAGGUUACUGGUGCGCAACUGACACUGAGGCACGAAAGCGUGGGGAGCAAACAGGG
RNAcentral lists this ribosomal RNA (256 nucleotides) under uncultured bacterium. RNAcentral describes it as "partial 16S ribosomal RNA". It matches the Rfam family "Bacterial small subunit ribosomal RNA", at positions 524 to 777 of the family's 1533-position model. The record is from RNAcentral.